GACGAACGCUGGCGGCGUGCUUAACACAUGCAAGUCGAACGGAAAGGCCCUGCUUUUGUGGGGUGCUCGAGUGGCGAACGGGUGAGUAACACGUGAGUAACCUGCCCUUGACUUUGGGAUAACUUCAGGAAACUGGGGCUAAUACCGGAUAGGAGCUCCUGCUGCAUGGUGGGGGUUGGAAAGUUUCGGCGGUUGGGGAUGGACUCGCGGCUUAUCAGCUUGUUGGUGGGGUAGUGGCUUACCAAGGCUUUGACGGGUAGCCGGCCUGAGAGGGUGACCGGCCACAUUGGGACUGAGAUACGGCCCAGACUCCUACGGGAGGCAGCAGUGGGGAAUAUUGCACAAUGGGCGGAAGCCUGAUGCAGCAACGCCGCGUGCGGGAUGACGGCCUUCGGGUUGUAAACCGCUUUCGCCUGUGACGAAGCGUGAGUGACGGUAAUGGGUAAAGAAGCACCGGCUAACUACGUGCCAGCAGCCGCGGUGAUACGUAGGGUGCGAGCGUUGUCCGGAUUUAUUGGGCGUAAAGGGCUCGUAGGUGGUUGAUCGCGUCGGAAGUGUAAUCUUGGGGCUUAACCCUGAGCGUGCUUUCGAUACGGGUUGACUUGAGGAAGGUAGGGGAGAAUGGAAUUCCUGGUGGAGCGGUGGAAUGCGCAGAUAUCAGGAGGAACACCAGUGGCGAAGGCGGUCCUCUGGGCCUUUCCUGACGCUGAGGAGCGAAAGCGUGGGGAGCGAACAGGCUUAGAUACCCUGGUAGUCCACGCUGUAAACGGUGGGUACUAGGUGUGGGGUCCAUUCCACGGGUUCCGUGCCGUAGCUAACGCUUUAAGUACCCCGCCUGGGGAGUACGGCCGCAAGGCUAAAACUCAAAGGAAUUGACGGGGCCCCGCACAAGCGGCGGAGCAUGCGGAUUAAUUCGAUGCAACGCGUAGAACCUUACCUGGGUUUGACAUGGAUCGGGAGCGCUCAGAGAUGGGUGUGCCUCUUUUGGGGUCGGUUCACAGGUGGUGCAUGGCUGUCGUCAGCUCGUGUCGUGAGAUGUUAGGUUAAGUCCCGCAACGAGCGCAACCCUUGUUCACUGUUGCCAGCACGUUAUGGUGGGGACUCAGUGGAGACCGCCGGGGUCAACUCGGAGGAAGGUGGGGAUGACGUCAAGUCAUCAUGCCCCUUAUGUCCAGGGCUUCACGCACGCUACAAUGGCUGGUACAGAGAGUGGCGAGCCUGUGAGGGUGAGCGAAUCUCGGAAAGCCGGUCUCAGUUCGGAUUGGGGUCUGCAACUCGACCUCAUGAAGUCGGAGUCGCUAGUAAUCGCAGAUCAGCAACGCUGCGGUGAGUACGUUCCCGGGGCU
RNAcentral lists this ribosomal RNA (1346 nucleotides) under uncultured bacterium. RNAcentral describes it as "bacterial SSU rRNA". It matches the Rfam family "Bacterial small subunit ribosomal RNA", at positions 28 to 1381 of the family's 1533-position model. The record is from RNAcentral.